Molecule: long non-coding RNA, 1193 nt
Organism: Poecilia latipinna (sailfin molly)
Lineage: Eukaryota; Metazoa; Chordata; Actinopteri; Cyprinodontiformes; Poeciliidae
Exons: 2
Source: RefSeq, a predicted model, not a curated record
AUAUAUCAGAUAUUUAAGUAUACUUAAAUAUCUGCAGGAAUGUGAGAGGUGUCCUCACUUUUGUGAUACACUGUAAUGCUGUUGUGUUGCACUCUUCCUUGCAGCUUCUCUUGGACUUCCCGCUACUUAGGAGCAGGACCGGUCCAAGGCAUAAGUAAACUAAGAGGCCGCUUAGAAUCCCAGGGCCACUAGGGGAACAGAUUUUUUAUUUUGUAUUAAUGAUUUCUAUGUCUAUGUAAAAUUGUUCCCAAGGAUGAAACAGAUUUGUGCAGCUGCACAAUUCUCUCCUUGCUGAUUUCUUUUGACCUACUCAUCAUGUCAAAUAAGAAAGCAGUAUGUUUCAGGUGUUGCCUUAAAAUACAUGCACAGCUAACUUGUGGAAGGUUUAACCCAAAUCAUACACAGAGAAGUUUGGUCUGAUUUUCACUCACCGCAGUGAGUGAAAAUGUGUGCAUGCCAUUUUAUUCAGUGUAUUUAAAUAUCUGGUUAUACAGUUGAAUGUGCUUAGCAUUGUGGACAUUCAUAUGUGAAGCUAAUUUCAUAAUUGGGGGAAUCAUGAGCAGUUCUUAUUUGGAUGAAUGUGAAUUUUGUACAGAGGUACCAAAUUCAUGUAUUUUUUAUAUUUUUGAAUUUAUGAAAGAAAAUAAAAACCACCUCAAAAUGGUACAGGUGCCCAACACUUGAUUUUGAGUGUUGCCUUUGAUCUUGAAUGAUGCCUUUUUCCACAGAUCAGCCAAUAUGAGCAGAUUUUUCACUUUACUCCAGAUCACAUCUAGGGUAUUUUUUGGAGAACCGGGCCCCUGGUUCAACAAGAUGCAGAUGGAUGGAGAUAAGACAACCAUCUUCCAUGACAUUGAUGGAUCAGUUAGUGAGUAUCCUGGAGCGUUUUUGGUUAAAGAAGACAACUGGCUGCUCCGUCACCCUGACUGCAUUGAUGUGCCUGAUUGGAAGGCUGCAAUCUGCAGUGGCCAUUAUGCACAGAUCUACAUCCAAACCCGAAAACCUGCCAACUUGAACAUGCAAAUAGUGAGGAAUGAAUAUCCUGACUGGCCACUGACAUUAGAAGGUGCCCUAGGAAAGAAGAAGCAUUACCAGCAAUUCCAGCCAGUGAUCACAUUAGCCAAAGGUUACACAGUUCACUGGGAUCAGACAGCACCAGCAGAGGUCACCAUUUGGCUCAUCAACUUCAAUAA